Transfer RNA from Loxodonta africana (African savanna elephant), 72 nucleotides. It matches the Rfam family "tRNA". From Rfam's summary of the family: Transfer RNA (tRNA) molecules are approximately 80 nucleotides in length. Their secondary structure includes four short double-helical elements and three loops (D, anti-codon, and T loops). The record is from Rfam. Lineage: Eukaryota; Metazoa; Chordata; Mammalia; Proboscidea; Elephantidae.
GCCCUAGUGGCACAAUGGGUAAGUGCUUGGCUGCUAACCAAAAGGCUGGCGGUUCAAACCCACCCAGCAGCU